GAAAGGGCUGUGUACGCUGUGAACGGGGGGCUCACUAGCUUGCCGCUGGUCGCGUGCGGUCAUGCAUCGCAUUCCGCCUCAGUUCCUGGUCUUACCCCUACCCUCCUCCCGCACACUCCUCUGCCCCCUCCUCCCACAGGAGCUGAAGAAGCGCUCUGACGCGGACAAGUCGGACAAGACCGUGAAGGACCUGGUGCUGCUGCUGUUCGAGACCGCGCUGCUGUCGUCGGGCUUCUCGCUGGACGAGCCCAACACCUUCGCCAGCCGCAUCCACCGCAUGAUCAAGCUGGGCCUGUCCAUUGACGAGGAGGUGGAGGAGGGCCUGGGCGCCGCCGACGACGACCUGCCGCCGCUGGAGGAGGACGCCGCCGCGGGCGAGGGCAGCCGCAUGGAGGAGGUCGACUAAGCGGCUAGCAAGGACUGGCAGGCAUUAGCGGCGGGUGGAUAGGGAGGUGGGAUGAGGGCUCUGCCCUGGUGUGCCCCCGGUCUGGGGGAUGGAGGGGGGCAUGAACCGAGAGCUCGACUGCUCGUUAGCUUAGCAGCAGUGAAGCGGUGCGGCUUAGAUGUGAACAUACGCCGGGUGACGGUGUGCGUGGGGAGUGUGUGGGCGGCGUCAUUAUGCCACCAUCGCAUAUACUGGUUUUGGGGUCCCGCACUGCAACGCAGCAGCAAAGGAGUUUGAAGGUUAGGGGUAGACACGCUCACAUCAGUGGUACAUAUAUUCAUGUCUUGAGGAAGAAACACCAACAACAUCAGACUCUUGAACAAGCACGAGUACACAAAUGUGUCAUCUUAAUGUGUGUGGUGUGGUACUGAGAGAGCAGGUUGUAUGCCGUGCGAAGCAGGGGUGCACCGUUAGCGCCUGGACUGAAAUUGCAGAGGGCUGGUGGUGUGGAGGUGGAGUGAUGGAGGUUUGGGCACGCAGGGCCCGCACACCCGCAGCCGUCCGUUGAGCGGUCGAGGGGCAGUGUGGGGCUUGUGGAGUGCAGUUGCACACGGAGCGAAUUGUAAUGCUGGAGUGCAUGCGUCCAUGGUCUGCCAAGUCCCAGCAAUAACAGACUGUCUCACUUCUCCUCAGCGGCAAAUCAAAGCUGUUGCCUGGAUUCUAGGGAAGAUAACUGCACAUGUGUAGGAGAGGCAUACCACGUUGCGGCGGGGUCUCAUCAGCAGAAUAGGAACUGGGGGGCAGCCAAUGAGGCCCCAGUCAUUGCUGCGAGGGCCGCUCCUCCCACUGCCGGCCAGGUGAGCCCCAACUCGGUGGCAAACACCCCUCUCGCCUGCAGCGGUGGCGUUCAAGUGCCGGCCAGUCGGGAUGCGGGCCUGCAGGGCCGCAUACGGCUGCCGAUGCAGCAGGACACUUUUGGCACGUAGGCGGGCCGCACAGCAGCUGGCUCUGUCGGCCAGUCGGCCCGACUGCGCCGCCAGCACCGCAAAACUCAAGCCGCAAGGUCUCAGCAGCAUGGCAGAUUGGCAGGGACUGGUGUGCAGAUGUGGUACCUUCGGCAUGCAGUGCGGCUGGACAGUGAUUGCAUGGCAGCCGGAGACCCGAUUGAACCCCCUCCUGCCAAACACGUUCGGGCAGUGGCACUGGGGCUCGUGGCGACCGCCUCUCACUCCAGUCUCCACUUUCCAGUUGUUUCGUGUCGGCGGACUGUAUGGGUCCCGUGGCACCCGUCCCUGCGGCUAUCGCUCAGCGGGCCUUCCGUCAUUCCACCUACCUCUCUGGUGGAGAAGGCAUGAGCCGUAUGUGUACCCCGUAGUGGGAUGGGUGACUCAAAGUAAGUUCUCUUGUAUUGACCAGGCCUCGGGCCUUCUCCCCUGCUGUGUUGGGCGGUGAGCUAGGGGUGAGCGUGCGGCACCCCUGCGUCUGUCCUGCACUCGGCCUGCGGUUCUUGGUGGUCAGGGGCGCAGGCCUGGCAGCGGGCGGACGAGCUGCAGCACGACUCCCACUUGGGCAGGCAGGCACACACGCACGCACGGACACACACACACACACACACACACACACACACACUCGCACGGACACACACACACACACACACACAAACGCACACACACGCACACACACACCCCCGCGGGCAGCGGGGGUUUUCCCCCGCCAGCCCGUGGUGCUGACACCCCGUUUGCAUUUGCCGUCAUGCAUGCGCCCAUGCCGUCCCCCGCCUGUUUACUUGCUCGUGGUCGCCCGCCCUCCGUCUCUUUCCCAAAUCGCGCAACCCCUAGUAUAGUUAAUUGGGCUGGGACUGGGCUGCGUGUUUGCUCUUGCUCGUCGCGCGCCGCCGCGCUAACAUGUUCCUUCGCUCUUGUUCGUGACACUCCCCUGCUGCCGCCCUGUGCUCUGUUGUUUUCUUAUUCGCUCGUAGGUGAGAAUUUCAUCGAGGAUUGGGCGGGAGCUUGGACUUAGCGGCCAGGAGUAGCGACGCGGAGCUAGGAAUCGUAGGAGUGCCUGGGCCUCACGGUACCGUGAGCACAUGAAUGGGUUUGCACCCUUGAGAGCGUGUGGACACUAAUCCCCCCUCGAGGUUAGAGUAGCGGGGGUUGCGCGAUUUCCGGUUGGUAAGACCGGCGGCUCACCGCAGCAGGUAUGCGAGGUAACUUCAGGUAACAUCCGUAAACCGUCGCUUUGCUGCAUCGCAUACACUGUCUUGCGCAACGUUUUCCUUGUGCUCUUUAACACACACACACACUCGCACGGACACACUCGCACACACACACACACACACACACACACACNNNNNNNNNNNNNNNNNNNNNNNNNNNNNNNNNNNNNNNNNNNNNNNNNNNNNNNNNNNNNNNNNNNNNNNNNNNNNNNNNNNNNNNNNNNNNNNNNNNNCACACACACGCCCUAACUCACCUCCCCCCCACACACACGGCACCACCGACCAGCACCAGGGGACUUCUCUGGACGGCCGCUCCCCCAAGUCCCCCGCCCCGUGCUGCCACCAUCACGUGGUGCCACUCCCGGACUCUUUGUGUUUCCCGUCAGCUCGCCUGCACGGCUGUACGGCCCCGUGCGGCUGUUCCUGCCCCCAGCCCCCAUCCCACGCACCACCCACCCAUGCCAAACCCUCGCCCCGCGUGCCUGCUUGCUGCCUGCUGCCUGCCUCCGCACCUCCACCGCCACCCCCACUGCUGCU
Molecule: long non-coding RNA, 3137 nt
Filed under: Chlamydomonas reinhardtii
Lineage: Eukaryota; Viridiplantae; Chlorophyta; Chlorophyceae; Chlamydomonadales; Chlamydomonadaceae
Description: long non-coding RNA (CREI_LNC000742)
Source: RNAcentral